This 476-nucleotide ribosomal RNA is filed under the name uncultured bacterium. RNAcentral's name for it is "bacterial SSU rRNA". It matches the Rfam family "Bacterial small subunit ribosomal RNA", at positions 28 to 507 of the family's 1533-position model. The record is from RNAcentral.
GGUAGACGCUGGCGGCGUGCCUAACACAUGCAAGUCGAGCGGUACAGUUUGAAGCGUUCGGUGGAGAGCUGUAUAGCGGCGGACGGGUGAGUAAAGCGUAGGAACGUGCCCCUCGGAGUUGGAUAGCCAUGGGAAACUGUGGGUAAACCGACAUAGACUCGGGAGAGUAAAGGCCGAAAGGCGCCGAGGGAGCGGUCUGCGUCCCCAUCAGGUAGUUGGUAGGGUAAAGGCCUACCAAGCCGACGACGGGUAACCGGUCUGAGAGGAUGGCCGGUCACAAGGGCACUGAGAGACGGGCCCUACUCCUACGGGAGGCAGCAGUGGGGGAUUUUGGACAAUGGGCGAAAGCCUGAUCCAGCGACGCCGCGUGGAGGAAGAAGUCCUUCGGGAUGUAAACUUCUGAACUAGCCGAAUAAAAGGCCUGUGGACACACAGGAGAAGAAAGUAGGCUAGGAAAAGUCCCGGCUAACUACGUG